CAGUCGCCACGGUAAUACGAAGGGGGCUAGCGUUGUUCGGAUUUACUGGGCGUAAAGGGCGCGUAGGCGGGCGAAUAAGUCAGGGGUGAAAUCCCAAGGCUCAACCUUGGAACUGCCUUCGAUACUGUUUGUCUUGAGUUCGAGAGAGGUAAGUGGAACUGCGAGUGUAGAGGUGAAAUUCGUAGAUAUUCGCAAGAACACCAGUGGCGAAGGCGGCUUACUGGCUCGAAACUGACGCUGAGGCGCGAAAGCGUGGGGAGCAAACAGGAUUAGAUACCCCCGUAGUCCCUGUCUCUUAUAC
RNAcentral lists this ribosomal RNA (301 nucleotides) under uncultured bacterium. RNAcentral's name for it is "partial 16S ribosomal RNA". It matches the Rfam family "Bacterial small subunit ribosomal RNA", at positions 509 to 807 of the family's 1533-position model. The record is from RNAcentral.